Molecule: unclassified non-coding RNA, 559 nt
Filed under: Fusarium avenaceum
Lineage: Eukaryota; Fungi; Ascomycota; Sordariomycetes; Hypocreales; Nectriaceae
Description: sequence contains ITS1, 5.8S rRNA gene and ITS2
Rfam family: 5.8S ribosomal RNA (bases 198-351)
Source: RNAcentral
AAGUCGUAACAAGGUCUCCGUUGGUGAACCAGCGGAGGGAUCAUUACCGAGUUUACAACUCCCAAACCCCUGUGAACAUACCUUAAUGUUGCCUCGGCGGAUCAGCCCGCGCCCCGUAAAACGGGACGGCCCGCCAGAGGACCCAAACUCUAAUGUUUCUUAUUGUAACUUCUGAGUAAAACAAACAAAUAAAUCAAAACUUUCAACAACGGAUCUCUUGGUUCUGGCAUCGAUGAAGAACGCAGCAAAAUGCGAUAAGUAAUGUGAAUUGCAGAAUUCAGUGAAUCAUCGAAUCUUUGAACGCACAUUGCGCCCGCUGGUAUUCCGGCGGGCAUGCCUGUUCGAGCGUCAUUUCAACCCUCAAGCCCCCGGGUUUGGUGUUGGGGAUCGGCUCUGCCUUCUGGCGGUGCCGCCCCCGAAAUACAUUGGCGGUCUCGCUGCAGCCUCCAUUGCGUAGUAGCUAACACCUCGCAACUGGAACGCGGCGCGGCCAUGCCGUAAAACCCCAAACCUUCUGAAUGUUGACCUCGGAUCAGGUAGGAAUACCCGCUGAACUUAA